This 378-nucleotide ribosomal RNA is filed under the name uncultured eukaryote. RNAcentral describes it as "SSU rRNA". It matches the Rfam family "Eukaryotic small subunit ribosomal RNA", at positions 587 to 972 of the family's 1831-position model. The record is from RNAcentral.
AGCUCUCAAAGUGUAUAAAAUUAUUGCUGCGGUUAAAAAGCUCGUAGUUGGAUCUGUGCCACGGGACUGGGUCCAUCUUCGGAUGCGUACUCAGCUCCCGGGCUUUUUGCCGGUUUUCCCGUCGUAGCCUUUACUGGUGGCGGCGGGUGGCUGGCGAGUUUACUUUGAGAAAAUCAGAGUGCUCAACACAGGCGUUUCGCUUGAAUGAUUGUGCAUGGAAUAAUAGAAAAGGAUUUCGGUCCUCUUUUAUUGGUUUUGUGGACUGAGAUAAUGGUUAACAGGGACAAACGGGGGCAUCCGUAUCGCGACGUGAGAGGUGAAAUUCUUGGACCGUUGCGAGACGCCCUACUGCGAAAGCAUUUGCCAAGAAUGUCUUCA